RNAcentral lists this ribosomal RNA (2006 nucleotides) under human gut metagenome. RNAcentral describes it as "bacterial LSU rRNA". It matches the Rfam family "Bacterial large subunit ribosomal RNA", at positions 347 to 2474 of the family's 2925-position model. The record is from RNAcentral.
AAAGCUGACCGAAGAUGGUGAUAGUCCAGUAUAGGUAGAAAGCAAUUAAGUUCUUGAGUAGGGCGGAGCACGAGAAAUUCUGUCUGAAAAUGGGGAGACCACUCUCCAAGGCUAAGUACUACUGAGUGACCGAUAGUGAACAAGUACCGUGAGGGAAAGGUGAAAAGCACCCCUAUAAGGGGAGUGAAAAAGAACCUGAAACCGGAUGCCUACAAGCAGUCGGAGGAGCAUUAGGCUCUGACGGCGUACCUUUUGUAUAAUGGGUCAGCGACUUAAUUUAUGUAGCAAGCUUAAGCCGAUAGGUGUAGGCGCAGCGAAAGCGAGUGUUAAUAGCGCGUUAAGUUACAUGGAUUAGACCCGAAACCGAGUGAUCUAGCCAUGAUCAGGUUGAAGGUUGGGUAACACCAACUGGAGGACCGAACCCACUCCCGUUGAAAAGGUAGGGGAUGAAUUGUGGCUAGGGGUGAAAGGCCAAUCAAACUCGGAAAUAGCUGGUUCUCCGCGAAAACUAUUUAGGUAGUGCGGCAAGCGGACACGUUGAGGGGUAGAGCACUGAAAGAGCUAAGGGGGAGCGAUCCUUACUAAACUUUAUCAAACUCCGAAUACUCAACAGUGAUACUUGCCAGACAGACUGUAGGUGCUAAGGUCUACGGUCGAGAGGGAAAGAGCCCAGACCGCCAAUUAAGGUCCCAAAAUUAUGGCUAAGUGGUAAAGGAAGUGAAUUGUCCAAAACAGUCAGGAGGUUGGCUUAGAAGCAGCCAUCCUUUAAAGAAAGCGUAAUAGCUCACUGAUCUAAACAAGACGAUUUGCGCCGAAGAUGUAACGGGGCUAAAGCCAUAUACCGAAGUUGCGGAAUUGCAUUUAGGUGCAAUUGGUAGCGGAGCGUUCUGUAAGCCUGCGAAGGUGUUCCGUAAGGAAUGCUGGAGGUAUCAGAAGUGAGAAUGCUGACAUGAGUAGCGAAAAGAAGUGUGAGAGACACUUCCGCUGAAAGUCCAAGGUUUCCUGCGUAAAGCUAAUCUGCGCAGGGUUAGUCGGCCCCUAAGGCGAGGCAGAGAUGCGUAGUCGAUGGGAAUCAGGUUAAUAUUCCUGAACCAACUAGGAAGUGACGGAUACAGUAAAUUGUGAAUUCUUAUUGGAUUGAGUUUGCAGUGAAUGUGUUCCAGGAAAUAGCCCUAGUAUAGACCGUACCCGAAACCGACACAGGUGGACAGGUAGAGAAUACCAAAGCGCUUGAGAGAACUAUGUUGAAGGAACUAGGCAAAAUACUUGCGUAACUUCGGGAUAAGCAAGCCCCAUUUGAAGGCAACUUUAGGUGGGGGGCACAUACUAGGGGGUAGCGACUGUUUACUAAAAACACAGGGCUCUGCUAAAUUGAAAGAUGAAGUAUAGGGUCUGACGCCUGCCCGGUGCUGGAAGGUUAAGGAGAGAUGUGCAAGCAUUGAACUGAAGCCCCAGUAAACGGCGGCCGUAACUAUAACGGUCCUAAGGUAGCGAAAUUCCUUGUCGGGUAAGUUCCGACCUGCACGAAUGGCGUAACGACUUCCCCACUGUCUCCAACAUAGACUCAGCGAAAUUGAAUUCUGAGUUAAGAUGCUCAGUACCCGCGGUUAGACGGAGAGACCCCGUGAACCUUUACUAUAGCUUUGCAGUGGUAUUAGGUGACAAAUGUGUAGGAUAGGUGGGAUGCUAUGAAGUUAUGACGCUAGUUGUAAUGGAGCAGACGUUGAAAUACCACCCUUUUGUUAUUUGAUGUCUAACCUGCUUCCGUUAUCCGGAAGAGGGACCCUGCAUGGUGGGUAGUUUGACUGGGGCGGUCGCCUCCCAAAGAGUAACGGAGGCGCGCAAAGGUUGGCUCAGAUUGGUCGGAAAUCAAUCGUUGAGUGCAAUGGCAUAAGCCAGCCUGACUGCGAGAGCGACAGUUCGAGCAGAGACGAAAGUCGGUCAUAGUGAUCCGGUGGUCCCGAGUGGAAGGGCCAUCGCUCAACGGAUAAAAGGUACUCCGGGGA